Amphiprion ocellaris (clown anemonefish) is the source of this 5488-nucleotide RNA transcript. It is a transcript of the gene named microtubule associated monooxygenase, calponin and LIM domain containing 2a, with no coding region annotated. The transcript is spliced from 25 exons. The record is from RefSeq and is a predicted model, not a curated record. NCBI's taxonomy places the organism in Eukaryota, Metazoa, Chordata, Actinopteri, Pomacentridae.
CCUGGUAUUUAAUCUUAAAAUCCUACUUAUGCUCAAGCCUGUUGGUAACUUUUUAAAAGCAACAUAUUUAUUGAUUUAGAUCUGCAGUUCGGUCACAUCUAAGCCGGUGUAGUUAGUAAAUUCCUCCGCGCAGCUGUCAGUUUGAGGCAGGUGGAGGGAUAAGUGGAGAACUGCGUCUUUGUCACGGCAAAGUCUGGAUCUUGUGGAUUAAACAGCAACCACGGUAGCUGCUCUCUGGGUUUGUCCCACUUCGGAGCACCGCCCUCAAACACUGGACUCAGCUGCAGGAGAAACUGCUGCUGUCAGACUGACUGAGGACUCACUUUACACCGCAGUCCGAGACCUCGUUUGACCGAACACACACUGGAAGGAAGAAGUUCAGACCGAGAUAUGAGACUGGGCAUGACGGUGCGAGCCAAGCUGAGGGUGUAGCCACAUCUGGCAGAGAGAGCGCUGAAGCGAGCAGGAGCCCCAGACCGUCUACUGCAGCAGGGAAGAUGGGAGAGACAGAGGAGGACAAUGUGGGGAAGCUGUUUGAGAGCUUUUUCCAGGCCUCGACCUGUAAAGGAACGCUUCAGGCCUUCAACGUCCUCUGCAGGCGUCUGGACCUCGACCCUGCCGACCACAGCACCUUCUACAGCAGCCUGAAGGCCAAGGUCACCUCCUGGAAGGCCAAAGCACUGUGGAGCAAGCUGGACAAGAGGAUGUCCCAUAAGGAGUACAAGAAAGGUCAAGCCUGUGUGGGCACCAAGUGCCUCAUCAUCGGAGGAGGUCCCUGCGGCUUGCGGACUGCCAUUGAACUGGCCUUGAUGGGUGCCAAAGUGGUGGUGAUCGAGAAGAGGGACUCUUUCUCCAGGAACAAUGUGCUCCAUCUUUGGCCCUACACCAUUCACGACCUGCGGGGCCUCGGGGCCAAAAAGUUUUAUGGAAAAUUCUGUGCUGGGGCCAUUGACCACAUCAGCAUCCAGCAGCUGCAGCUCAUCCUGCUGAAGGUUGCUCUGAUCGUUGCUGUGGAGUUUCACAUCAACGUGGAGUUUGUCAAGCUGUUGGAACCUCCAGAGGAUCAGGAAAAUGAAGGAGUUGGGUGGAGAGCUGCAAUCCGACCUGCUGAUCACCCUGUGGCUAACUUUGAGUUUGACGUGGUGGUGGGGGCUGACGGACGCAGAAAUACUCUGGAAGGUUUUAAAAGAAAGGAGUUCAGGGGUAAACUGGCAAUCGCCAUCACGGCCAACUUCAUCAACAGGAACACCACUGCAGAGGCCAAGGUGGAGGAGAUCAGCGGAGUGGCCUUCAUCUUCAACCAGAAGUUCUUUCUGGACCUCAAAGAAGAGACAGGUAUUGAUCUGGAGAACAUUGUGUACUACAAGGACAACACACAUUACUUUGUCAUGACUGCCAAGAAACAAAGCCUGCUGGACAAGGGAAUUGUCAUUAAUGAUUACACUGACACUCAGAUGCUGCUGAGCAGUGAAAAUGUCAACCAGGAAGCUCUUCUGUGCUACGCCCGAGAGGCUGCUGACUUUGGUACCAACUACCAGCUUCCCACGCUGGAUUUUGCCAUGAACCACCUUGGGCAGCCAGAUGUAGCAAUGUUUGACUUCACAAGCAUGUACGCCUCUGAGAAUGCCGCCCUGGUCAGGGAGAGAUUUGGACACCAGCUCCUGGUGGCGCUGGUUGGUGACAGUCUGCUGGAGCCCUUCUGGCCAAUGGGAACAGGUUGUGCCAGAGGCUUCCUGGCUGCCUUUGACACAGCCUGGAUGGUGAAGAGUUGGGCUCAGGGUCGGACGGUUCUGGAGGUGCUGGCAGAGAGGGAGAGUAUUUACCGACUUCUGCCACAAACAACACCUGAAAACAUUGCCAAAAACUUUGAUCAGUACACCAUAGACCCUGGAACCCGAUACCCAAACCUCAACUCCUCAUGUGUCAGACCUCACCAGGUGCGUCACUUGUACAUCAGCGGGGAGCUUCAUAGCUGCUCUCUGGAGCGUGCUGCUACCAUACGGCGGCCUGUCAAUCUCUCCAGGCGAGAGUCAGAGAUCAGACCAGCAAGGCUUCUCACCUGGUGCCAGAAACAGACGGAGGGCUACAGGAAUGUGACCGUCACAGAUCUGACCUCUUCGUGGAAAAGUGGCAUCGCCCUCUGUGCCCUAAUCCACAGGUUCAAACCCCAGCUGAUAGAUUUUGACUCAUUAAAUGAUGAGGACUUUGCUGCAAACCUCCAGCUGGCGUUUGACAUCAGUGAACGGGAAUUUGGGAUCCGACCGUUCGCAUCUGCGAAGGAGCUGAGCGACGACGAGGAGCUGGAUAAGACGAAGAUGAUCGCCUACCUGUCCAAAUUCUACGAGCUCUUCCGUGGAACACCUUUACCUGCAUCAGGUUCCAGAGGAGUGGAUGAAAACAAUGAAGAUUAUCCAUCUAAGGAAGUCAGGAGCAAUAAUAAUAAUGUGCUCAAUCUUGCACUGCCCAGGAAACGGGUGCCAAAGGAUGAGAAGAAGUCAGACGGUACAGACCCCAUUUACAAAAGGAGGCGAAAGUUCUGUUAUUUGGAGGAGGCCACCAAUCUGUCCAGUAAUGGCUCUUCAGUACGAGACGGACGAGAUCCCAAAGAAAAUAAAGUGCGCUCAAUGGCUACUCAGUUACUGGCCAAAUUUGAAAGCACACCCAACUACACUGUCCGCAAACCACAGUCAGACUGUGAGAAGUCCUUGCUGCUCCACACUGUUGACCUGAAUGAGAGUCUGCCAGUUAAACUCGGGCCUCCAGUCCCGCCUAAACCUCCUCCUCUAACACAGUUUGAAGUGAGUAUCAGAAAAGCAGCAGAGCAAUUAGUCCGCCUGCCUCCAAAGACUCUGCCCAAACCCCAGCUCCAGCCUCAGCAUCCGUUUUCUGUAGUGAACCUCAGACAUGUUGAUCAAACUGAGACGAAGCCUCAGCCUGACAGUGCAGACCCCCCUGCUUCUCCUCACUCCUGCCAGUCAGCAAUCCAUUUCAUGUUAAGGAUCCUCCACCGCCUCAGGGAGGUGGACGAACACAUCUCUGAGAAGAAAGCUCAGACACAACAGGUUAGAGAGUUUCAUGCAAAGAGUAUUAAGGAAAAAGCUGUUCACCUUAGUGGGUUGUUCGAGACAGAUGGUUCUGCUCUUCUCAAGGGCAGCUCAGUACGGAGGGUGUUUCCCCAGUCAGGUGAUAAGUGUCACUUGUGUGAGAAGCGAGUUUAUAUGGUGGAGAGGGUCUGUGCCGAGGGCCUCUACUUCCACAGGGAGUGUUUUCGCUGUUCCACCUGCAGCUCUGCACUGCGACAGGGAGCUCAGGCCUUCCACUCUGAAGAGGGGAAACUGUACUGCAAACUUCAUUUUGAUCAACGCAACAAUGGGACAAACCUACGGAGGAAUUUGUCUUUUCGCUCAAAUCGUUCUGGAGUUCAGGAAGAAAGUGCUGCUGAUGAAGAAAGCUCCCAGACCAGCUGUCCGACAGACCUGCAUAGUGCAGCUGCCUCAGCUGAUGACUUUUAUGAAGCGUGUAAGGAAACCGGAUGGUUGGGAAAGAUGACAUUUUGAAGACGAAUACGAUGAGGACUCCUACAGUAAAAACAUGGUUUACGGACCAUGCGUGUUCUGCCUUAGGCUGCCAGAGAAGAGAGACGUCACACACUCAGGACUGAGAAUUACAGCUGUUAUGUUGCACAUUGAUAAUAAUAUAAUUUUAUAAAUAUGAGCUUAAUGCUGUCUUUAAUAAAUGUUUUUUCUUGUGCUCUAGAGUAAUUGCUGCAUUACUGUUUGUGCUGCAGUGUUGCUUUUUAACCUUUAAGAGUGUGUUGUGUAGUGUAAUAUUUUCUUGAUGCAAUAUACUAAAAGUAAAAGAUUAUAUAUUUAUGGCAAAUGCUAUUAAAAUUGAAGAACAGAGUUGAGACACGUGAAUGAACUACCUAAUAAUGAAGGCUCUAGUAAUCACUGAUGUUGGUGAUGACAUUGUGUGUAUGUCUGUGGAAGACACACACACACACACACACACACACACACACACAGCUAGAAGAUCAUAAAGUAAAACAUGUUUUUGGUGUAAAGACAGUUCACAUGCUUUUUAGAAAGUGAUACAUGGAGUACUCAAAACAUAAUGGUGUAUAUGUGAGUUAUUAUAACUUUUAAACUACAUUAGAAACAUAACGGGGCUGCACAGUGGGGUAGUGGUUAGCACUUUCGCCUUGCAGCGAGAAGAUCCCUGGUUCGCGUCCCGGCUUUCCUGGGAUCUUUCUGCAUGGAGUUUGCAUGUUCUCCCUGUGCAUGCGUGGGUUUUCUCCGGGUACUCCGGCUUCCUCCCACAGUCCAAAAAUAUGCUGAGGUUAAUUGAUUAUUCUAAAUUGCCCGUAGGUGUGAAUGUGAGAGUGAUUGUUUGUCUUUGUAUGUGGCCCUGCGACAGACUGGCGACCUGUCUAGGGUGUCCCCUGCCUUCGCCCGAGUCAGCUGGGAUAGGCUCCAGCACCCCCCCGCGACCCUAGUGAGGAUUAAGCGGUGUAUAGAUAAUGGAUGGAUGGAUGGAUAGAAACAUAACAGGACAUAAAGGUGUAAUAUGCAUGAAAUCUAUCACAAAAUAAGAGCAGUAAAAUGCGCAGGGGGGCUGAAGCAAAAGCUAGAACAUGUCUGGACAUGUUCAAACGUGACCUAAUGAUAACCUAGUGUUCUCAAUAGGGAGUGAUCUAGGGGUGAAAUAUGAUAACCUGACGCCAUGAUCUGACCAAUAGAUUUUAUAAUGGUGUCAGAACGGUCACUCCAAUCACACGCCCUGUAGGUGUGGAAAAAUGCUGCACACAUGAACCAUGGUAUGAAAUAUCAAGCAGAAAAUAUUUCGCCAAAAAAGCAAUUCCAGCUCUUCAUGUGCUGUCACAUGUGGACAUUAGUCGUAAGUUGCAGUCAGUGUGUUUGGAAAAGAAGCCUAUGGCGAGACUAUAGGCAGUUUUUGUUCAGUGGUUCAUCCAAACUUGUGUCAACUCCAGUGAAAGUGACACCAAAUUGCAGUAAAUAAAUAAAUACUGAAUUUGUCCUUUUUACAGGCAUUUUGUAUUUUUCAGUUACAGAUAUCAUGAUGUAUCGUUGUGUGACCAUCUUGCAAUACAUCGAUUAUCGCAGUAUCAUGAUAGUAUCGGUAUCGUGAGCCAUGUAUCGUAUUGUGAGGUACUCUGUGAUUCCCACCCCUAAUGCAAACUCCACACAGAAAGAUUCCAGGGAGGCGAGGAUGCAAACCAAGGAUCUUCUAGCUAUGAUGCUAACAACCGAGCCGCUGUGCAGCCUCCAGAACAACACAAUCCCUCUGAAUUCAUUAAAAGAACAUCAAACAAAAAUCAGAUUUACUAUAUUGUACAUGGUAAACGUUCACAGUUAAUCACUGAAUCAUUGAAUAUAUUCAGAGGUACACUGUGUUUCAGUGCACAGAUACUGACCUGCACCUUGUAUAACUCUAACAAAUGCUGGUUAAUAAAGCACAUAAACAAGAA